RNAcentral lists this unclassified non-coding RNA (262 nucleotides) under Hevea brasiliensis (rubber tree). The record is from RNAcentral. Lineage: Eukaryota; Viridiplantae; Streptophyta; Magnoliopsida; Malpighiales; Euphorbiaceae.
UUUUUUCAUAGAACAAAUACGGGAAAAAAAAUCAUAUUGAAAACGUUCCUAACCCAACCCCUUCCUUCGUAGAGCUGUGUAUUGUAAGUGAUCCGAACCUGCCCGGAGCGAGCCCCCCAUAGAGGCAAGUGAAGUUGGUGAGCCGUAUGAUGGGCAACUAUCUCUUGCGGUUCGGAGAGGACUCAGCUGUUAGUUAGUACCCCCUUGGUUUCGGGGUGGACUCUUUCACUCUAUUUUAUUAUAUACGCUUAGUGAAAAGAAU